AUGGAGUCACAUAGGCUCCAAACUAAGGCGAACCGGGUGAGAGAUGACAGCCUAAUAACCCAUAAUCAGUUCAUCGCGGUAGAUCUGAGCGCAAAGGAUCCAGUGGCUCGAGAGUUUUGGGCGAAGGCGCGGGAUAUCAUCAUAUGUUCCAGGAACCUCGAAGAAGAGCACAAUGCACAAGCCGGAGGAGGAGGGACAAUGCACAUGACAGUGGCAUGUGAUUUCGCCAUGUUGCCGUAUAGAGUUGACCGUGAUGUGUGCAAUAAACCAAUUAUUGGCAAAUUUGCCAUGAUCUUGUGGCCCAGUCCCAAGACUCUAUGGACUAAGAUUAGCUACUUUGCUUCUUUAGCUGCUCCAAUUAGGAACCAAUCCUCUGAGUGGUUUAUCCUCUUCAAAUCAUUACUAUUCAUUCCGGGGGCAAGUGCAAACGAAUCAGAACCCGACCUGAGCGUGAAGGCUGGAAACCCAACGUCUGCGACCGCUUCGGCCCAAUUUCAGUGCAGUCAUCUGUGCCUAGCCAAGCUGGAGGCCAGGACGCCAAAGGUGAAGGACGUAAUUGGAAUGUCGGUCCAGGUGGGCGCCAAGGCGGCAGUGGAGGCGGCCGUCAAGAAACCCUCCACGUGCAUCGCCGACUGCCUCGACGGCCUUGCCUCCACGUGGAGCGAAACAAGAAGCUUCCUACUCGCUCCCAUUGCAUAUUGGUUAUUAACAAAUUUGGCUGAAGCGGUCGCCCUUGUAGCAUUGAUGGCGUCCAAGGUUCUGGUUCUGGUUUGGACACCAGGGGUGAUGACGAUGGCAAAAGGGUUUAAGGCAGCAACAUGGCCAUGUGUGGUGAUGGAUGAAAUUGAUGGGCGGAUGAUUUGGUCAGAGGCCCAUCCAUCUGCAGAGCCCAUCGUAGAAGCCGUACAAGAGACACCCAUUUGCCUGGCAAAAAAAAAAGUUGAGCAUUUGGUAGAUCCCGAGUUACCUCGCCGGCCACCCCGAUGGCGCCGCCGCACCCAGCACCAUCGCCGAAUCUGCCGAUCCCUUCGAACCCAAGAUGAGCUCCUCGAGGAGAUCUUCGUCCUUCUUCCCACGGCGGCAGACCUAGCCCGCGCCUCCGCGGCGUGCCCCUCCUUCCGCCGUCUCAUCACCGACCACGCCUUCCUCCGCCGCUACCGCGCCCUCCACCCGCCGCCUCUCAUCGGCUUUGUCGACGACAACGCCUUCGUCCUGGCCCAGCCGCUGCACGCCUCCGCCAUCGCCGCCCGCACCUUCGCCGGCUUCGACUUCUCCUGCUCCUCCUUCCUCCCAUCCACCGCUGGCCGUACCUGGAGGGCGAUUGACUUCUUGGACGGACGCGCCCUCCUCACCGCCGCCCAGUCCAAGACGAAUGCGACAGCCCUGAUGUCAAGUUGUUCGCUGAGCUUAGCGAUGUCUUCUUAUGUGGUCGACUAUAUGCUGGUGGUUUCCCACCAUCAUUAUGUGCACCAACCAUAUGAAGUGUUGGAAGCUUAG
Molecule: ribosomal RNA, 1497 nt
Filed under: Triticum aestivum (bread wheat)
Lineage: Eukaryota; Viridiplantae; Streptophyta; Magnoliopsida; Poales; Poaceae
Description: partial small subunit ribosomal RNA
Source: RNAcentral